RNAcentral lists this ribosomal RNA (253 nucleotides) under uncultured bacterium. RNAcentral's name for it is "partial 16S ribosomal RNA". It matches the Rfam family "Bacterial small subunit ribosomal RNA", at positions 524 to 776 of the family's 1533-position model. The record is from RNAcentral.
UACGAAGGGAGCUAGCGUUACUCGGAUUCACUGGGCGUAAAGCGCGUGUAGGCGGCAUAUCAAGUCAGGGGUGAAAUCCCGGAGCUUAACUCCGGAACUGCCUUUGAAACUAGUGUGCUAGAAUCAGACAGAGGAGUGUGGAAUUCCUAGUGUAGGAGUGAAAUCCGUAGAUAUUAGGAGGAACACCAGUGGCGAAGGCGACACUCUGGGUCUCGAUUGACGCUGAGACGCGAAAGCGUGGGGAGCAAACAGG